Molecule: ribosomal RNA, 434 nt
Filed under: uncultured Clostridiales Family XIV bacterium
Lineage: Bacteria; Bacillati; Bacillota; Clostridia; Eubacteriales; Clostridiales Family XIV. Incertae Sedis
Description: bacterial SSU rRNA
Rfam family: Bacterial small subunit ribosomal RNA
Source: RNAcentral
ACGGAAGGCAGCAGUGGGGAAUAUUGCACAAUGGGGGAAACCCUGAUGCAGCGACGCCGCGUGAGUGAAGAAGUAUUUCGGUAUGUAAAGCUCUAUCAGCAGGGAAGAAAAUGACGGUACCUGACUAAGAAGCCCCGGCUAACUACGUGCCAGCAGCCGCGGUAAUACGUAGGGGGCAAGCGUUAUCCGGAUUUACUGGGUGUAAAGGGAGCGUAGACGGUAAUGCAAGUCAGAAGUGAAAGCCCAGGGCUCAACCUUGGGACUGCUUUUGAAACUGUAAUACUAGAGUGCAGGAGAGGUAAGUGGAAUUCCUAGUGUAGCGGUGAAAUGCGUAGAUAUUAGGAGGAACACCAGUGGCGAAGGCGGCUUACUGGACUGUAACUGACGUUGAGGCUCGAAAGCGUGGGGAGCAAACAGGAUUAGAUACCCUGGUA